GUAGGGUGGAUGCAGUGCAGACCUCUGCAUCAUCUUCCUGGUUCAUCCAUGAGUACUGUAUCUUAUCUUCCAACUGGCUCCCUGUAAAGAGUUCAGCAUGCCGGAACAACUGGCAAGUACUCCUCCAGAGCCUGCACAAGAUCAGCUGACGUGGAGCCACCUGCAAGCACCAAAAUUCAGACUGUCAGUCACCGGUUUCAGAAAAACACUUAGCUGCUGAUCAGGCGAACCAUGCUGUGUGAUGGCGCGUCUCCGGGGCCUGGUCACGGCCAGCGCCUCGCGAGCGGCCAUGGCCGCGAUCCGGCCCCUCGACGACGCCAGACGCUCGGUGAGCCUCCUCGGCAGGCUGUCGGUGAGCGGUGGCGGAGGCAGCUCCAAGGGCUCGGGGACCCGCAACCCGGGCACAAACACGGCCACCUCGCCGAUGCUCGCCGGUCGCCUCCUAAUGGCACUGGCGUCAUCCGGCUUGGAGCUGAAGCACCCCAUUGAACGAUAUACCCUGCACAAUCUGCAGCAGCUUUAAUGUCUGAGUGGUUGAUCAUCAGAUGGACUGGAUACAGGAACUGAUUCAGAGAUGGGAAUUUCACUGAACCGAGAGCACAACGAAGAUGGAUGUCACCUUGAUCUUCCGGUAAGAGGUCACUGACUGUAACGUAUGAGCUCGAGCUGCAAAGACCAACGGUGUGACGAAUUCAGGGGAAGGUGAAAUGGAAGAUGGAAAGUGAAGCUGCUAAGUGGCCGUGAUUUUGGUCAAUUGGAUGCCAGCAAGCAGAGAGAGCUCAAUUAUGUUGCUCACGAGGUUCACAUCCACGUCCACAACCACACCCAACAGCCAAAGUGGCUGCGAGAUCACGAGCAUGGUGAUCACUACCGCGUCAAUGUAUGAUCUCGCAACUAGUUAAUGUCUGACUUGUGUACUUAUUCUCCUUCUUUUCCGUGGAUUCGUUCAUGAAAAACUCAACUUCUCACCUUUCCCUUAAGCUGUUGAGCCGUGUGCUCUGCGGGAUGUUGGUUGCUCUCUGUUAAGGCUAGCUUGGUACUGUAAUAUGGUUACUUGCAAAA
Molecule: non-coding RNA, 1062 nt
Organism: Lolium perenne
Lineage: Eukaryota; Viridiplantae; Streptophyta; Magnoliopsida; Poales; Poaceae
Source: RefSeq, a predicted model, not a curated record